GGAUAACUUACCCUUUAGGACUGGGAUAACUCUGGGAAACUGGGGAUAAUACUGGAUAUUAGGUUAUGGCUGGAAUGCUUUGCCUUUGAAAUGUUUCUUGUAUUCGCCUAAGGAUAGAUCUGCGGCUGAUUAGGUCGUUGGUGGGGUAAUGGCCCACCAAGCCGAUGAUCGGUACGGGUUGUGAGAGCAAGGGCCCGGAGAUGUAACCUGAGACAAGGUUACAGACCCUACGGGGUGCAGCAGGCGCGAAACCUCCGCAAUGUACGAAAGUGCGACGGGGGGAUCCCAAGUGUCAUGCUUAAAGGUAUGACUUUUUAUUAGUGUAAAAAGCUUUUAGAAUAAGAGCUGGGCAAGACCGGUGCCAGCCGCCGCGGUAACACCGGCAGCCCAAGUGGUAGCUGUUUUUAUUGGGCCUAAAGCGUUCGUAGCCGGUUUGAUAAGUCUUUGGUGAAAGCUUGUAGCUUAACUGUAAGAAUUGCUGGGGAUACUAUCAGACUUGAAGUCGGGAGAGGUUAGAGGUACUACCGGGGUAGGGGUGAAAUCCUAUAAUCCUGGGAGGACCACCUGUGGCGAAGGCGUCUAACUGGAACGAUCUUGACGGUGAGUAACGAAAGCCAGGGGCGCGAACCGGAUUAGAUACCCGGGUAGUCCUGGCCGUAAACGAUGUGGACUUGGUGUUGGAAUGGCUUUGGGUUGUUCCAGUGCCGAAGGGAAGCUGUUAAGUCCACCGCCUGGGAAGUACGGUCGCAAGACUGAAACUUAA
RNAcentral lists this ribosomal RNA (763 nucleotides) under uncultured archaeon. RNAcentral's name for it is "bacterial SSU rRNA". It matches the Rfam family "Archaeal small subunit ribosomal RNA", at positions 102 to 859 of the family's 1478-position model. The record is from RNAcentral.